Molecule: ribosomal RNA, 239 nt
Filed under: uncultured bacterium
Lineage: Bacteria
Description: partial 16S ribosomal RNA
Rfam family: Bacterial small subunit ribosomal RNA
Source: RNAcentral
GAUCAUGGCUCAGGAUGAACGCUGGCGGCGUGCUUAACAUAUGCAAGUCGAACGAAGCACUUCAUAAAGUUUACUUUAAGAAGUGACUUAGUGGCGGACGGGUGAGUAACGCGUGGGUAACCUGCCUUACACAGGGGGAUAACAGUUAGAAAUGGCUGCUAAUACCGCAUAAAACAGCAGAGUCGCAUGACUCAACUGUCAAAGAUUUAUCGGUGUAAGAUGGACCCGCGUCUGAUUAG